RNAcentral lists this ribosomal RNA (492 nucleotides) under uncultured bacterium. RNAcentral describes it as "partial 16S ribosomal RNA". It matches the Rfam family "Bacterial small subunit ribosomal RNA", at positions 29 to 507 of the family's 1533-position model. The record is from RNAcentral.
AGUGAACGCUGGCGGUAGGCCUAACACAUGCAAGUCGAACGGCAGCACAGUAAGAGCUUGCUAUUACGGGUGGCGAGUGGCGGACGGGUGAGGAAUACAUCGGAAUCUACUUUUUCGUGGGGGAUAACGUAGGGAAAAUUACGCUAAUACCGCAUACGACCUACGGGGGAAAGCAGGGGAUCUUCGGACCUUGCGCGAAUGAAUGAGCCGAUGUCGGAUUAGCUAGUUGGCGGGGUAAAGGCUCACCAAGGCGACGAUCCGUAGCUGGGCUGAGAGGAUGAUCAGCCACACUGGAACUGAGACACGGUCCAGACUCCUACGGGAGGCAGCAGUGGGGAAUAUUGGCCAAUGGGCGCAAUCCUGAUCCAGCCAUACCGCGUGGGUGAAGAAGGCCUUCGGGUUGUAAAGCCCUUUUGUUGGGAAAGAAAAGCAGCAGGUUAAUCCCCCGCUGUUCUGACGGUACCCAAAGAAUAAGCACCGGCUAACUUCGUG